UGCGCCGCCAUCGUCGUAGGCCGAUUCCGACCGGCUGCGGCGAGGCCUCGCGCCCCCGACCUCCAUCCGCUCCCCCUCGCUCUCUCACAUGGCGUGGAGCCUCCGAUCUGUAGCCCCCACCCUCCGAUGAACCUUAGACAAGCAGAAUCCAGUCUCGCCGGCGCCGCCCCAUGGCGACGUCCCCGAGCUUUUGCCGCCGGCCAUCUCUAUGGCAUGCUUCUGCCAGUCACCUCCCCAACCAUCUGCUGCCCGACACCCAAAGUGGAAAUAACUACAGGGAUUAUUUGUUGCGGAGGUCAGAGCGGCCGGAGCUCGUUGACAGGUGGCGGCCACAAUGGCGUUCUUGCUGGCGCAGACGUCACGCCACAUGCCCUGCUGCUCAUGUAUCCCUCCCUGCCCCGAUCUAGCUGACGACAAGGCUUGAGCUUUGGCAUCCAUGGCGUCGAUGGCGUGGCAGCUGGUGGUGGCAACGUGGCACGGUGACUGGCUGGACCACAUGGAGCUGAUGCUGGUCUCCUCGGAGCUUACAGGAGAAAAGGCAAGGUGCUUUGCCAGCAGGGUGUGGCCCUACAUGGGGCCUCAUUGGGGUUUUUGUGCAGAUCGUCAUGCACAACCAAAAGAAGGCAAUAUUUUGAAUAUUCAAAGCAUGAAUCUGUUGUUCAGAAAUUAGCCAACCGGGUCCCUGACCCUGUGUCCUAAAGUGCAGCAUUUAUAAUUUGAUGUAGCUGCAUGGCACUCUGGAGGCGAGAUUAACACUGGCUGCUUCGUCCCUGAUUCGAUGGCUCGGCCGACUGCGAGCUUUUCUUGAGCAGAGAAUUCCACUAGCAUUCUGUCAGUACCUUCAGAGUCAUCCAACUGGAUUGAUGUCCCUGAAAGGUCAAAGUGGUAACACAUGGCCUGCAAAGCUUUGUUUAGACACUGAAGGGUUAUUCUUUGGACAUGGGUGGAAGGAAUUUGUUAUGGAUCAUUCCAUAGAGCCAGGACACAUUUUAACCUUCUCUUAUGAUGGACACUCACAAUUCUCGGUGGCGGUAUUUGAUGGACUCUGUAUUGAGAAGUCAUCAGCUUUUCAUGCUAAGUCUUCAAACGAUCUGGUUUGUACAAUAGAAAGUGAUGAAGAGGACAAUGAUAUAUCGGCUGGUUUGAUGGACUCUGUAUUGAGAAGUCAUCAGCUUUUCAUGCUAAGCCUUCAAACGAUCUGGUUUGUACAAUAGAAAGUGAUGAAGAGGACAAUGAUAUAUCGGCUGCUUUAGUUGAUUAAAAAUCAGCAAGUCUUAAGAGUACUGAAGAGAGUUCCACCAGCAUUCUGUCAGUACCUUCAGAAUCAUCCAACUGGAUUGAUAUCCCUGAAAGGUCAAAGUGGUAACGCAUGGCCUGCAAAGCUUUCUUCAGACACUGAAGGGUUAUUCUUUGGAAAUGGGUGGAAGGAAUUUGUUAUCGAUCAUUCCAUAGAGUCAGGACACAUUUUAACCUUCUCUUAUGAUGGGCACUCACAAUUCUCGGUGGUGGUAUUUGAUGGACUCUGUAUUGAGAAGUCAUCAGCUUUUAAUGCUAAGCCUUCAAACAAUCUGUUUUGUAUAAUAGAAACUGAUGAAGAUGACAAUGAUAUAUCGGCUGCUUCAGUUCAUUACAACUCAUUAAGCCUUAACAGUACUGAAGAUUCUGAUUCACCAAACCGCGUGUUAGAAGAAAGUGUCCCUCACAAAGAUUAUUUGAAGUUUUCACCGAUGUUCAGAAUUUCUAAGGAAGUGAUGAAUCUGGCAAAACUGUUGUGAAAGUCCAACGAGGACCAGAAGCAAUGUUGCAAAGGCUGCCAGUAAGUGAAGAUCAGAAGAACUACACUCUUCAAAAGGCAAUGAAAUAUAAAUCGAAGUACCCUACAACUCUGGAAAUAAUGAAGGACACUAAUGCCUACAAGACAUUUUUUUCGAGAUUAUUCCGAGUGAUUUUGUGAGGGAUUAUCUUCCCCACACCGACAAGAAGUUGACACUCUGGGAUGAACAAGGAAAGGCUUGGGAAGUUAGCUAUGUCUAUUGCAGCAAUCAUUCCUCUGGCGGUUUUAGUAAGGGCUGGGGUGUGUUUUCUCGGGGUAAUCAUCCGGAGAAGUUUGACGUGUGCGUCUUCGAGCUCUUCUCCUAGGACAACAUAGAAGUACACGUCUACAAAGCUAACCCCGGACUAACUCCGUACACCCUACAGUCGAACAACUAGAUAGUAGGAGUGCUGCAGCUCCAUAUUUGACCUGCAACUCUAGCUAGUAGUCCAAUAGGACUGUUCGGAUGGUGAGAGAGAUUUGAAAUAAAUGACUCCCUGAUAAACAAGGUUUUUUUUUGUGUCGAUCAAAUUGUUGGAUCCUGUUGUAUCAGUGCAAGAAUUAAUAUUGUUGCAGGUUUGCUGCCGUUCCAUUGCUGCAGUAUAUGUACAAUGCA
This is an RNA transcript of Lolium rigidum, 2429 nucleotides long. It is a transcript of the gene named B3 domain-containing protein Os11g0197600-like, with no coding region annotated. The transcript is spliced from 9 exons. The record is from RefSeq and is a predicted model, not a curated record. Lineage: Eukaryota; Viridiplantae; Streptophyta; Magnoliopsida; Poales; Poaceae.